UGAAAUAUUUUCAACAAAAAUAUUUUGUAAUAAAAAUUUAUCUAAAUUUAAAUAAGGGAGUUUCACUCCGUAUAUUAGAGCUCGUAGAAAAAAAUACAGCCCUCCACUGGGACUCACCAAGCCCUGAGACUGGGUCAAGCAGAUAGACUUGAAAACCAACUCCCAACGUGGGUGCCUGGAGGCCCCUGGAGGGGCAGCUUAGCCUGGACAAGUGCAGAGGGCCCGUGCACAGAGGGCGCCUGUCGAGACAGAGCUCUGACCGGUCAUUGUUUUCCUCAUCGCCAUGGCGUACGGUUGAACUGAUGCCAGGAGCUGACCUCAGCUGCAGUCCCCGCAGACCGUGUCCAGAAUGCACUGAGGGUUUGGACCAGAUCACAGCUCUGCAAGGCCGCAGUCCCAGCUCUGCCGCUGACCUCACCAGCAGCAUUCUUUAGAGCACUCAUCAUCAUUUGCAAGGAGUCUGAGGGGAAAGCACGUGGGGCUGUGCUGGUCGAACAUCCCAUCCAUUCAUCCAGCCACUUGUUCAUUCAUCCAACAAAUCUUUGUCGAGUAUCUGCAUGUUCAAGGCACUCUGCUUGGUUUUCUACAAUAGAAAGAAGCUCCAGGCUCCAUGGAGAUCACCUUAUUUUUUAGAGAUGUCAAAGGUUUACCUCGUAUGGACAACAUAGGAUAUGGCUAUCCCCUGGAAGGAAUUGGUGGGACACAAACAAAAGGAUUCAGCUGGUCAGUGGACAAAAGAGCCCAAUUAAACCACCAAGCUGCAGCAAACGCGCUCAGGAAGGGCCUCAGCACAGGCCUGGAGCACUGAAGAACGUCUCCUCAAUGCGGGCUUUGGGAACAGCCUUCAGGCAGACAGUGAGGCCCCGCACAGCCUCUGCUCCUGGAAAAGCCCUGAAGGCCUGUGCGAUGUGCCCUUGGGAUGAUACUGGGGUCUCCCAAGGCUCCACCCUAGGUGGGCCCCGUUGCCUCCUCCGUUCACCCUUCCCCAGCCACAUCAGGUACCAGGGCAGUCCCAUCCUCAGAGCAGGCUGCAGGCUGUGAGGCUCCUGGAGCUGGGUCUGUGCUAUCCCGUUAGCCUGGGAUGCUGCCUUCUCCACCCCUCAAUGAUCACAACCCAUCUCUCCCCUCAAGAUGCCAUUCAAACGCUCCUUUUCUGCAGCCCCCGUCUCCUCCUGUUGCGAUCCUAGAGCACAUUGCUUGCAUGUUGCUGAACAGAUGCCCAUCCUGAUCUGGGAUUCAGUAGUGGUCUCCACCACCACCCUUCCCACCAAGCUACUCUGCCACUUCCCUCAAGGGGAGAGACGGGUAGGGGAACUUCGUCUACAGACUGCCUGUCACUUGCCGGGCACCGUGCUGGUUGCUAUAUGAGAAUACCAUUUAAUCCCCGUGUCCACUGCAAGGCAGUCAUUGUCAUACCCAUUUUACAGAUGAGAUUUGCCAAAUAAAGGCAGAGAGCCAGAAUUACAGUUUAAA
This is a non-coding RNA of Equus caballus (horse), 1473 nucleotides long. The record is from RefSeq and is a predicted model, not a curated record. Lineage: Eukaryota; Metazoa; Chordata; Mammalia; Perissodactyla; Equidae.